AAACCAGCACCUCAAGUGGUCAGGAGGAUUAUUGGGCCUAAAGCAUCCGUAGCCUGCUCUGUAAGUUUCCGGUUAAAUUCAUUAGCUCAACUAAUGGCCUGCCGGAAAUACUGCAGAACUAGGAAGUGGGAGAGGUAGACGGUACUCGGUAGGAAGGGGUAAAAUCCUUUGAUCUAUUGAUGACCACCUGUGGCGAAGGCGGUCUACCAGAACACGUUCGACGGUGAGGGAUGAAAGCUGGGGGAGCAAACCGGAUUAGAAACCCGAGUAGUCC
Molecule: ribosomal RNA, 274 nt
Filed under: uncultured bacterium
Lineage: Bacteria
Description: partial 16S ribosomal RNA
Rfam family: Archaeal small subunit ribosomal RNA
Source: RNAcentral